ACAUCUGCAACCGCACAUUUCGGGGUAAUAAGUCUUUUACGGAGCACCUCGAUUGGCGAGUCUAAGUAAAU
This 71-nucleotide small RNA is filed under the name Lactobacillus kullabergensis. RNAcentral also lists the same sequence under 2 other names. The record is from RNAcentral. Lineage: Bacteria; Bacillati; Bacillota; Bacilli; Lactobacillales; Lactobacillaceae.